Non-coding RNA from Coprinopsis sp. MPI-PUGE-AT-0042, 95 nucleotides. The record is from the annotation of a GenBank genome assembly. Lineage: Eukaryota; Fungi; Basidiomycota; Agaricomycetes; Agaricales; Psathyrellaceae.
GGCGUGAUGGCCUAUUGGUAAGGCACCAGACGCCUAUGUUGAAGUGAUAAAACAGAUGUGGUCUGGGGAAGAAGGUUCGAGCCCUACUCGUGUCA